Long non-coding RNA from Oncorhynchus tshawytscha (Chinook salmon), 428 nucleotides. The record is from Ensembl. Lineage: Eukaryota; Metazoa; Chordata; Actinopteri; Salmoniformes; Salmonidae.
ACUGUUUGUGUUAUUAUCCUGUGUUAGUAAUGGUUUGUAUCUGUCACUAAGCAGUAGUGAACUAUGAAUGGGGGUGGUGCCUCUCAUCUUGGUUUCAAAUCACCACCACAAUAUCAACAUCACAAUAUCAACUACAACAUCAACUGAGGAACUAAAGGCAGACAGGACAAAGUAACCGACACCCUCUUCAUUGAGUUGAAUUGAGUUCAGGAUAAACAACAGAGGAAAAGUACCUCAAAAUUAUGACUUCAGCACAACAGCGAUCUGGGAAAUCACAGACUAGAAAAGAAGAGGAGGAGUUAUGGAAAUGAGGUGUUUUUCCUGUAGCUAUAACAACCUGUAUCUGAAGGAGGGCAGAGUACAGGGUUACAUACAUUCCUGCCAUGCCAGUGUCUAAUUGGGUGAAGUCAGCAAACAGCAAUGAUGGC